GCAUAUUUGGUAGAUUUUUCAUAUUUGAGCUUGAAUCGGAUCAUUUUUAAUUAAAUCAGUUAAAAUCGUUCACAUAAACUAAUUGAUUCAAAUGAAAUAGACACUUCAGUGUAUAAAAAGUGGUCAAAAUCUUUCGUCAGAUGAACCUGAAAUUUGAGGCCAAAAUCGGUCAUUACCGGACCUACUCCUUUCAUAUUUUAAGAUGCAUCUAUUGUCAUGAUUGUAAAUAUGUCAAGAUAAAAACAAAAGUUAUCUAUGCAAAUUACAAAAGGUCCACAGGUUUUUAAGUUAACACUCAUGAAAAUAAAAUAAACA
RNAcentral lists this long non-coding RNA (315 nucleotides) under Mytilus galloprovincialis (Mediterranean mussel). Lineage: Eukaryota; Metazoa; Mollusca; Bivalvia; Mytilida; Mytilidae. The record is from RNAcentral.